AAAAAUCUGAAGCCAGCCCAACUUGUUUUCUUAAAAAGACUAAAAAAUAAAAGCCCAGCCCAUAUCUAAUACUAACCCUGUCUCUGUACACAUCUUUAACUCUCUCCCUCUCUUUCCACAUUCAGUCGGCAACCUCCUUUUCCUUACUCACCCUUGCCCUCGCCCUCGCCGUCUCGACUCCCUCUUUAUCUCUCGGCGAUGCAGAAGCAACGACAUGGUAUCGCAACCAAGCAACGCUCUCUCUAUUCAUGCAGGUGGUUUGCCGAUGUACGAGAACGACGGGGCUCAGUGAGGUAUCUCACUCUCUCUCUCUCUUUCUCUAACACUUUGUCUCCCACUCUUUUUGUAGCUGCGGCGAUGAGGUGGGAGUCAUAUGACUAGCAACGAACGAGUUGAGAUGUGAGGCUGGGGGCAAUGUCGAACCAUGGGGCUACGGGGAGGGUUGGCGACGAUGAUGGAGCACAGACCAAUGGGGAUUUCUACGCUCUGAGUAACAGGGUCGUGCUUUGUUUUGGAUAAGAAUCAUUAAAGGUGUUUGUUGAUUGAACCAAGGUAUAUUUAUUAAAAAAUGGUAGACAAUGUUAUUUGAUUUAUUACACAGGGUCAUGACUUGGUUUUGUUUGAUUAGUUUAUCUUCUUUCCUAUUAUUGAUCUAUUUUUCUCAACUCUGUUUUGAGUUUUACAUUAAUGAUUAGAAUAUGUGUAGUGAUCUUUUUAAGAGCAUGCUUGCUUGCUAUAUACAAACAGUAAUAUGUCAAGUAGGAUUUGUUAAUGAUAAAAUGAUCCUAUUUUCAGAUCAUUCUUGGAUAACAGAAAGUUCUCUGUAAACUUGUAGUGUUUGGUUGUUUUGUUUUUCAAUUGUACUUAUUUUCAGGUACGUACGAGGUUGGUCGUUUGCUAGCUAAUGAAAGCAACAAUACUGCAAGAUGUAUUCAAAGGUGGAAGUUGAAGUCAUAUAUUAAUUGUUAUGAUUGUUCCUUUUUCAUUUUGAUGUGUAUUUGUUGUGUAAAUCUGAGUGAAAUAUUGUACAUUAUAUAUAUAUGUACAUAUAUGAUCAGCUUAUUUAGUGUGGAUAGAAUAUUUUUGGGUUAGUUUUUGUUGUUUGUAAUUUUAAAAUUGUUUAAUUGGUCAUAUGUAUUAUUUUUAUUUUAUUGUUAACUUGGUGUUUGUUCUAAA
Molecule: long non-coding RNA, 1176 nt
Organism: Humulus lupulus (European hop)
Lineage: Eukaryota; Viridiplantae; Streptophyta; Magnoliopsida; Rosales; Cannabaceae
Exons: 2
Source: RefSeq, a predicted model, not a curated record